UUUAUGGGAAAUGUAGUUUGAGGAUCACAAACUGUGUGUGAUCCGUGAAGGGGAGGGGCUUGGGGGUGAACGCGUUCGGGAGCCUGGGCGGGGAGGUCACUGCUGUUAAGGUCCAGCUUCUUGGUGGUGAGUCAGGGGCUGGUUUUCCUUUUCCGUCAUACCGAGACAUGUGAAGUGUGGUGCGGACGAUGGAAAACCGUAGGAGCUGAGAGAAGUUUGCUGAAGUAUGCCGGCUACAAACUUUCCUGUGGUUAUUUCAAUGUUUAGCUACUGUGUAUGUCUUCCUUACUCAAAGUGUGACUCAGUAUGAACCAUGGAUGCUGGUGAAAAAUGCAGAAUUCCAGACUCAUCUCUGACCUACUGAAUCAGAAUCUACAAUUUAAUGAGAUCCUUAGGUAAUUUAUGUGCACAUUACAGUUUGAGAACAUGGCUUUGGGUGAUUG
This is a long non-coding RNA of Leopardus geoffroyi (Geoffroy's cat), 443 nucleotides long. RefSeq lists it as uncharacterized. The record is from RefSeq and is a predicted model, not a curated record. The transcript is spliced from 3 exons. NCBI's taxonomy places the organism in Eukaryota, Metazoa, Chordata, Mammalia, Carnivora, Felidae.